This 260-nucleotide long non-coding RNA is filed under the name Olea europaea (common olive). RNAcentral describes it as "long non-coding RNA (OEUR_LNC012227)". Lineage: Eukaryota; Viridiplantae; Streptophyta; Magnoliopsida; Lamiales; Oleaceae. The record is from RNAcentral.
GCAAAUAACACUGAAUCCAAACUAAAAUGAAUCAGAGAUAUAUAAUUAAAAUGAAUUAAAUACAAAUAAUUUUAUUUUGAUUCAACGGCAUUUCUUGACGAGAAGGCUGUGAGAGAGGAGGAAAAGACCGACACGGAUAAUGGGGUGAGGUUUUGGGUUCUCUUCCGCCACGGAUAGGAGCGAUCGGUCUCGAGGUUUUUCUGUUCUGUUUUUCGAAGUUGAUCCACAAUGAUCAGUUUUGAAGAAUGACGUCGUAAAAG